GUCCGGCUGGCUCAGUCGGUAGAAUAUGUGACUCUUGAUCUCACGGUCGUGAGUUCAAGCCCCAUGUUGGGUG
Molecule: transfer RNA, 73 nt
Filed under: Ailuropoda melanoleuca (giant panda)
Lineage: Eukaryota; Metazoa; Chordata; Mammalia; Carnivora; Ursidae
Rfam family: tRNA
About the family: Transfer RNA (tRNA) molecules are approximately 80 nucleotides in length.
Source: Rfam by way of RNAcentral